Molecule: long non-coding RNA, 448 nt
Filed under: Fragaria vesca (wild strawberry)
Lineage: Eukaryota; Viridiplantae; Streptophyta; Magnoliopsida; Rosales; Rosaceae
Description: long non-coding RNA (FVES_LNC004819)
Source: RNAcentral
GACUGCAUGCCAAUGGACAAUGAUCUUCUUUUGUUCUUAGUGGGGUUUGCAAAUUUCGUUAUUGGGUUAUCCUGGUGAUAAUUGCUGCAUAGCAGAAAAAUUCGAACAUGGUUUCUUUGUUUGUACGCAUUCAUGUAUUGUUUGUUGUUCAUUGAUUCCCCUAAAUGCAUGUUGUGAAAUCGCAAAAUAGUCACUCCAACAACUUGAAAAUAAAAUAUGAAAUUUACUUUAAACAUUUUAGUGUUAAUCUUUUAUUUAUUUAUUAUUAUUUGCUUUGUUUUAGUGUUAAUCUUUACAGUCAUUUCAUUGCUAAGAUGUCCAGAUGUUGGUCUUCGCAUUGGUCUUCCCCAAGUGUACUACAUAUUUUCAUCAUGAAAGCUGUAAGGAAGUAACAAAGGCAUACAAGCCUAGCUUGAUCCUUCAUCUUGAAUCAGUAUUAUGUGUUGCA